CCGGCACGGGUGAGUAACACGUAUCCAACCUGCCGUCUACUCUUGGACAGCCUUCUGAAAGGAAGAUUAAUACAAGAUGGCAUCAUGAGUCCGCAUGUUCACAUGAUUAAAGGUAUUCCGGUAGACGAUGGGGAUGCGUUCCAUUAGGUUGUUGGCGGGUAACGGCCCACCAAGCCUUCGAUGGAUAGGGGUUCUGAGAGGAAGGUCCCCCACAUUGGAACUGAGACACGGUCCAA
This 236-nucleotide ribosomal RNA is filed under the name uncultured bacterium. Its description in RNAcentral is "partial 16S ribosomal RNA". It matches the Rfam family "Bacterial small subunit ribosomal RNA", at positions 100 to 334 of the family's 1533-position model. The record is from RNAcentral.